CAGGCUUAACACAUGCAAGUCGAGGGGCAGCAUGGUCUUAGCUUGCUAAGGCCGAUGGCGACCGGCGCACGGGUGAGUAACACGUAUCCAACCUGCCGUCUACUCUUGGACAGCCUUCUGAAAGGAAGAUUAAUACAAGAUGGCAUCAUGAGUCCGCAUGUUCACAUGAUUAAAGGUAUUCCGGUAGACGAUGGGGAUGCGUUCCAUUAGAUAGUAGGCGGGGUAACGGCCCACCUAGUCUUCGAUGGAUAGGGGUUCUGAGAGGAAGGUCCCCCACAUUGGAACUGAGACACGGUCCAAACUCCUACGGGAGGCAGCAGUGAGGAAUAUUGGUCAAUAGGCGAGAGCCUGAACCAGCCAAGUAGCGUGAAGGAUGACUGCCUUAUGGGUUGUAAACUUCUUUUAUAAAGGAAUAAAGUCGGGUAUGGAUACCCGUUUGCAUGUACUUUAUGAAUAAGGAUCGGCUAACUCCGUGCCAGCAGCCGCGGUAAUACGGAGGAUUCGAGCGUUAUCCGGAUUUAUUGGGUUUAAAGGGAGCGUAGAUGGAUGUUUAAGUCAGUUGUGAAAGUUUGCGGCUCAACCGUAAAAUUGCAGUUGAUACUGGAUAUCUUGAGUGCAGUUGAGGCAGGCGGAAUUCGUGGUGUAGCGGUGAAAUGCUUAGAUAUCACGAAGAACUCCGAUUGCGAAGGCAGCCUGCUAAGCUGCAACUGACAUUGAGGCUCGAAAGUGUGGGUAUCAAACAGGAUUAGAUACCCUGGUAGUCCACACGGUAAACGAUGAAUACUCGCUGUUUGCGAUAUACGGCAAGCGGCCAAGCGAAAGCGUUAAGUAUUCCACCUGGGGAGUACGCCGGCAACGGUGAAACUCAAAGGAAUUGACGGGGGCCCGCACAAGCGGAGGAACAUGUGGUUUAAUUCGAUGAUACGCGAGGAACCUUACCCGGGCUUAAAUUGCAGAUGAAUUACGGUGAAAGCCGUAAGCCGCAAGGCAUCUGUGAAGGUGCUGCAUGGUUGUCGUCAGCUCGUGCCGUGAGGUGUCGGCUUAAGUGCCAUAACGAGCGCAACCCUUGUUGUCAGUUACUAACAGGUUCUGCUGAGGACUCUGACAAGACUGCCAUCGUAAGAUGUGAGGAAGGUGGGGAUGACGUCAAAUCAGCACGGCCCUUACGUCCGGGGCUACACACGUGUUACAAUGGGGGGUACAGAGGGCCGCUACCACGCGAGUGGAUGCCAAUCCCAAAAACCUCUCUCAGUUCGGACUGGGGUCUGCAACCCGACUCCACGAAGCUGGAUUCGCUAGUAAUCGCGCAUCAGCCACGGCGCGGUGAAUACGUUCCCGGGCCUUGUACACACCGCCCGUCAAGCCAUGGGAGCCGGGGGUACCUGAAGUGCGUAACCGCGAGGAGCGCCCUAGGGUAAAACUGGUGACUGGGGC
This 1434-nucleotide ribosomal RNA is filed under the name uncultured organism. Its description in RNAcentral is "16S ribosomal RNA". It matches the Rfam family "Bacterial small subunit ribosomal RNA". The record is from RNAcentral.